Molecule: ribosomal RNA, 125 nt
Filed under: Alkalimonas amylolytica
Lineage: Bacteria; Pseudomonadati; Pseudomonadota; Gammaproteobacteria
Description: 16S rRNA. Bacterial SSU
Rfam family: Bacterial small subunit ribosomal RNA
Source: RNAcentral
UUUAAUUGAAGAGUUUGAUCAUGGCUCAGAUUGAACGCUGGCGGCAGGCCUAACACAUGCAAGUCGAGCGGUAACAUGCCUUCGGGUGAUGACGAGCGGCGGACGGGUGAGUAAUGCUUGGGUAU